RNAcentral lists this ribosomal RNA (461 nucleotides) under uncultured bacterium. RNAcentral's name for it is "partial 16S ribosomal RNA". It matches the Rfam family "Bacterial small subunit ribosomal RNA", at positions 29 to 507 of the family's 1533-position model. The record is from RNAcentral.
AUGAACGCUGACAGAAUGCUUAACACAUGCAAGUCUUUGGCGAAGCUGUGCUUGCACAGCCUAGCCAAGGCGGACGGGUGAGUAACGCGUAAGGAACUUGCCCUGCAGUCAGGGAUAACAGACGGAAACGACUGAUAAGACCUGGUAAAGUCAGGCGGACUCAUGUCCAGCCUGAUGAAAAGAGAUGCUGCAGGAGAGCCUUGCGUCCUAUUAGCUUGUUGGUGGGGUAACGGCCCACCAAGGCGAUGAUAGGUAGCCGGCCUGAGAGGGUGGACGGCCAAAAGGGGAAUGAGAUACGGCCCUUACUCCCACGGGAAGCAGGAGUGGGGAAUAUUGGAAAAUGGGGGCAACCCUGAUCCAGCAAUUCUGUGUGCACGAUGAAGGUUUUCGGAUUGUAAAGUGCUUUCAGCAGGGAAGAAAAAAUGACGGUACCUGCAGAAGAAGCGACGGCUAAAUACGUG